GAUGAACGCUAGCUACAGGCUUAACACAUGCAAGUCGCGGGGCAGCAUGGGGGUUGCUUGCAAUCCCCGAUGGCGACCGGCGCACGGGUGAGUAACGCGUAUCCAACCUGCCCUUCACCACGGGAUAACCCGGCGAAAGUCGGACUAAUACCGUAUGUUGUCCAUUGACGGCAUCCGAUUUGGACGAAAGGUUUGGCGGUGAAGGAUGGGGAUGCGUCCGAUUAGCUGGACGGCGGGGUGACGGCCCACCGUGGCGACGAUCGGUAGGGGUUCUGAGAGGAAGGUCCCCCACACUGGAACUGAGACACGGUCCAGACUCCUACGGGAGGCAGCAGUGAGGAAUAUUGGUCAAUGGGCGUAAGCCUGAACCAGCCAAGUAGCGCGCAGGAUGACGGCCCUAUGGGUUGUAAACUGCUUUUAUGCGGGGAUAAAGUGGCCCACGUGGGGGUUUUUGCAGGUACCGCAUGAAUAAGGACCGGCUAAUUCCGU
RNAcentral lists this ribosomal RNA (489 nucleotides) under uncultured bacterium. Its description in RNAcentral is "partial 16S ribosomal RNA". It matches the Rfam family "Bacterial small subunit ribosomal RNA", at positions 28 to 506 of the family's 1533-position model. The record is from RNAcentral.